AGUCAGAGUCAGAGAGCCGUGUCUCUGUGCAGUCAGAGGUUUUUGUACGGCGGCUCAAUGACUUUGUAUCACUGUGGUACACGUUUGGUGGAGGAACCAGACUGGAUGUUGGAAGUGAUGUGCGCCCCACCCUGAAGGUGCUGGGUCCCUCCAGUGAGGAGCUGCAGCAGGGGAAGGCCACGCUCAUGUGUCUGGCCAACAAGGGCUUCCCCUCAGACUGGAGGCUGUCCUGGAAGAUGGACGGCAGCAGUGGCAGCAUCAGAGGGGAGGAGAGCAGGACUCCCGCAGUGCUGCACAAUGACGGCCGCUACAGCUGGAGCAGCACCCUGACACUCACUGCAGACCAGUGGGAGAAGGUGGGCUCUGUGACCUGUGAGGCCACCCAGGGCUCCCAGGCUCUGGUCUCAGAGACACUGAGGAGAGACCAGUGUUUCCAGUCCUGAUGUGACUAAUCCUGCUCUUUGUUUACAGUCUGUGCUGUAACUCUUUCUGUCUGUUUCUCUUUUUUCUCAGACCAAAUAAAAUUUAAAUAUUUUCAUCUGA
Archocentrus centrarchus (flier cichlid) is the source of this 543-nucleotide non-coding RNA. The record is from the annotation of a RefSeq genome assembly. Lineage: Eukaryota; Metazoa; Chordata; Actinopteri; Cichliformes; Cichlidae.